UUUUUUUUUUUUUUUUUGCCUUUUCUAGGGUCACUUCCAUGGCAUAUGGAGAUUCCCAGGCUAGGGGUCGAAUCGGAGUUGUAGCCUCCGGCCUAUGCCAGAGCCACAGCAACGAGGGAUCUGAGCCACAUCUGCAACCUACACCCCAGCUCACGGCAACGCCGGAUCCUUAACCCACUGAGCAAGGCCAGGGACCGAACCCGCAACCUCAUGGUUCCUAGUCGGAUUCGUUAACCACUGCGCCAUAACAGGCACUCUCAAAAUUAAUGCUUUUAAUCUCAAUUUAUGACCUCACUGCAUUUUUGUUCAUGUCCUGCUACACUGAAAUAACUUUCUUUGAAAUUAUAGGGAUGGUAUAUGACAAAUGUCUUUCUUCAUGUUACUAUGAAGGGGAGAAUAUUGUUGCCCUACAUUAACUCCCAGUUUAUUUGAAAAUAAUUUUGACAUUUUUCCACCAUGUCAUUUCUCUAAGGUGUACUGUUAGAGCAGUGGUUUCGAAUGAGACAUGGACCAUUUGAUAAUCUGAGCUAGUUUCAGACCCUUUCUCCGGAAAAACCCCUAUACCUACACACACACAAACUUUUGCAGGUAAUUUUGGAAGCUUGACAGGCCUCUUUAAGACCUGCCAUGGGCUUUUUAAGGGUCCACAAAAUCCAUAUUAGAAAUUCUUGAACCAGAAGGAACAACACUUACUGUGAAAAGGGGGCCUUUUCCUAUUCAUUUACUUUUUUUUAAUUAAAAUAUAGUUGAUUUACAGUGUUGUAUCAAUUUCUGCUGUACAGCAGAGUGACUCUGUCACACAUAUAUAUGCAUUUAUUUUUUAAUGAAAUAUUCAAUGUCAAGAAAAAAUUUCCAUCACACCCUUUUAGGUUCAUUCAAAGUCCAGGGAGCCAAGGAUGGAGAUCAGGGAUUGAAUAGAUAUUUUAGAAACGUAAAUGGCCCUCUGUCUAAAGCAGCUGAUAUGCAGCAUUUGAACCACUGUUCUGUGGAUGUGGUGGGUACAGAAGUCACUCUUCCCUUUGGCAUGUUUUGCUGAACAUAUGUUGCAACCCAUCACCACCGACAAGACUCCGUGCAUCUCCCGGGCUGUCUGGGGGAGUCUUUUUGAAGGCAUUUCAGCCAUCUGUUAGGGUUUCCUGCUCACGAGGGCACUUUGGUGCCAUGAGGAGAUGGGACAUGACAUUUGGAAUCUGGGCCCACAUGUCACAAUGCCAAGGGCAGGGACAGCCCUGGGGAGACUGACUGGACCUUCGGUAGGGAUGAGCCUGUCAAUCAAAUAUAUCAGUCUAGGCCAUCCUAUUAGCAGCUAGGCCCCUGGAAUUUAGAGGGGAGGGGGAGGAAAGGUCUUAGAAAUCUUUAGAAGAGAAAGACAGCCCCUUUCUGUUCAUUUUCCUCUGGUAAAGCCUUGGGGGUAAAAGUGGAGCCCAGAGCUGGAGCAGUGAGGCUGGCAGUGGUCUUGAGAUCUCAGAACCAUAAAGAUCAAUAAAUCCAGAAUUUCCCAGACUUCAGUGAUUCAAGCCCCAUAGCCAUGAUUUUUUGCUGUCCCCACGUCACCAACAAUUUAUUUUAUAUUUUCUUUAAAAAGGCUCAGGUCUUUAUUUAAAUACAUGUAUUUUUAAAGAAACUUAUAUGUAUGAGUGGGUCACUUUGCUGUACAGCAGAAUUGACAGAACAUUGUAAAUCAACUAUAAUAGGAAAAAUAAAAAUCUUAAAAAAAGGAAACUUUACAUAAGUAACUAAAUAGAAGUCAGCAUCCCAUAGAAGUAGCUAUGAAUACAAUACAGUCAAAGGUAAACAAAACGAAAACAAAGGAAGCUUUUGGAAUUCUAGCUUGACAUUGUGACCUGCUAGCUCCUUGUUGAAAUGGGGAAUCAGCAAAGGCCAUGGGCUUGUUAAAAACAGGAACUCAGACUUUCCCCUUGAUGUGACUGGCAAUAUUGAAAGCAAUUUCAAAAGUGAAUCAUCAUUACCUUUUUAGGGGCUUAAUAUUAAUUAAUACCACAUGCAAGAUGCACUAAAGUUCACGUGCCACCUAUAAUCAUUGUUAUGUGCUGCUGUAGGACUGCAUUUCACACUGUGGAGGACACCUGGAGAACAGAAAAGACUUGUCCAAGGUAACUGUGGUUCUGCAUCCAUCCUUAAACCUAUGCCAUGUGCCAAUUGAUUUUAUAGCUUUUCCUGUGAGAGGCAUAUUAUACAUGCCCGCACCUUGACUUUGGACUCUGCUUUUGUGAUUUUCUUUGGCCAAGAUGUUGGAAAAUGUAGUGCAGGCAGAGGCUUCAAACUGGCUUGUAGAGCUGGGCUUGCUUGCUUUCACUUUGCCAUCGUUGCGAAGAGGACCUGUCAUGUUUAACCUGAGCUAAGGAGGAUGGAGCCGGGCUGAGCAGACCUAGGUUCUAUCACAAGGAGAUUCAGUGUUAUACUCUAGGCUGUUCAUCCCCCGUUUUUGGUGCAGUGUGGGGAGGAUGUAUGCAUGUGCAUGCGUGUGUGUGUGUGUGUGUGUGUGUGAGUGAGAGAGAGAGAGAAAAGAAGCAGACAGCGGGCAGAAGGUGAGAGGGAGCAGGAAGGAGAUCAAGAAAGGCGAGGUGAAUAGGGAAGAUUCAUGUCCUAAGGACACAGGCUCUGUCUUAUUCAUCUUCUAUAAUCCCAAAGCCUAGUGGAGCCUAGAGGCUCUCAAAAUGUUGAUGAUGAAUAAAUGCUUUAUCUUUUACCCAACAAUCUUCUUGAUUCAAAAAGCUCUUACCGAGAACUCUCUUAUACACGUGGGACUGGGCUCAAUGUCCCCAGAGAUGCGAAAGAAGUCAUUUUUGCACCUUGGGACAUUAUCAUGUAUUUCGGUGGCAAGGCCAUGCCCACAUAAUAUGGUGAGGCACCCACUCAAAGCUGGAUUGUUCUGUGCAUGACAAACGUGGUGUCCCUCAGCAAGGGCAGUGUCCUCUCCUGUGAGCCGUGCGUGUUCCCUCAGCCUGCAGUGCCAUCCUUCAGCUCUCCAUGGAGCAUUGAUGUUGCCCACAAAUCUGAGCUCUUUGUCUUCCUGCCUUGCCUCUUCUUUUCCCUAUGGGCAUUUUUAUUCCUUCCUUUUUGGAUUCUCUCUGACUGUGCUCCGGAAUACAUGGAGGUACCUGCAGCUGUUUCAUUGAGUCGCCCUCCUGUCUAGUUGAUGCGAAACCCAGGAAUAGUCGUUCACAUCUCCGUCCACGACGAAGCCCUGUAGAAUCUGUCUGUAAUUUACACGUUGAGGCUCCAUCUCCUCCUCGACCACCGUGAGCCCCUGUCAUGUCUCACAACUACCUGGUUACUUAGCAUCGCCUGCACUCAGUCUUUUCC
Molecule: long non-coding RNA, 3327 nt
Filed under: Sus scrofa (pig)
Lineage: Eukaryota; Metazoa; Chordata; Mammalia; Artiodactyla; Suidae
Description: lncRNA (ENSSSCG00000051709.2)
Source: RNAcentral